UAGAUAUUAUAUAAUCCCCAAAGCAUAAAUAAUCACUAGAAAAUAUUAUAUGAAAUAUAAGUGCAACAUAUCAUCAAGUAUUUCAUACCAAACAUAAACUUAAUGCAUGAAUAAACAACAUAAAUGAAGAAAAAUAUCGAAUAACCUGUUACCAAAUUAUCAAGCCACGUGGAUCACUGUGCGUUGUUGUUCGUUUGUAUUGGACGUGAUAAGAGGUGUGGAGGGUGGUGAUGAUUUAGUGAGGUUUGAGCUUAAGGUUAAUCCAAGGUGUUUUCCAGCGGAAUUGUAUUGGUGGUUUCGUAUGUCGGCGAUUGGGUGGUUCAUGAUGCGAAAAUGGAGGUGGGCGGAGGUUGUUGUAUGGUGAAGCUUCAGGUAAGGUAGUAUGGCAACAAAGGUGAUAAAGCUUUGAGGAGGCAAAUGAAGGUGUUGUAAUGGAAUGUUGGGAGAGAUUAGUAACUGAAGGAGGGGGUUAUGAAGUGAAAAUGCCGGUGAAGUUUAGUUAUAAUAACUAAUGAUUUUUGAAUCUCUAGGGAAGAUGAAGACAGAAUAUCGUCGGCGGGAAGAGUAUUCAACAUCCAGAAGAAAAAAAUUAAAUCUUUCACGUUUUCUUUCUUCAACCACCUUUCUUAACUUUUUCUUAUUUUUAUGAUAUCAUGAUGUAUGAGAGAUGCAUGGUGGUUUGAGAGUAGCAUAGAGGAAAAUGAAAGAUUUUCUCCCUCUAUUCACAUU
This 729-nucleotide long non-coding RNA is filed under the name Lathyrus oleraceus (garden pea). Its description in RNAcentral is "Pisum sativum (pea) long non-coding RNA (PSAT_LNC029030)". The record is from RNAcentral. Lineage: Eukaryota; Viridiplantae; Streptophyta; Magnoliopsida; Fabales; Fabaceae.